RNAcentral lists this ribosomal RNA (497 nucleotides) under uncultured bacterium. RNAcentral describes it as "partial 16S ribosomal RNA". It matches the Rfam family "Bacterial small subunit ribosomal RNA", at positions 28 to 507 of the family's 1533-position model. The record is from RNAcentral.
GAUGAACGCUGGCGGCGUGCCUAAUACAUGCAAGUCGAGCGAACAGACGAGGAGCUUGCUCCUCUGACGUUAGCGGCGGACGGGUGAGUAACACGUGGAUAACCUACCUAUAAGACUGGGAUAACUUCGGGAAACCGGAGCUAAUACCGGAUAAUAUAUUGAACCGCAUGGUUCAAUAGUGAAAGACGGUUUUGCUGUCACUUAUAGAUGGUUCCGCGCCGCAUUAGCUAGUUGGUAAGGUAACGGCUUACCAAGGCAACGAUGCGUAGCCGACCUGAGGGGGUGAUCGGCCACACGGGAACGGAGACACGGUCCAGACUCCUACGGGAGGCAGCAGUAGGGAAUCUGCCGCAAAGGGCGAAAGCCUGACGGAGCAACGCCGCGUGAGUGAUGAAGGUCUUCGGAUCGUAAAACUCUGUUAUUAGGGAAGAACAAAUGUGGAAGUAACUAUGCACGUCUUGACGGUACCUAAUCAGAAAGCCACGGCUAACUACGUG